RNAcentral lists this ribosomal RNA (308 nucleotides) under Pseudomonas aeruginosa. RNAcentral describes it as "partial 16S ribosomal RNA". It matches the Rfam family "Bacterial small subunit ribosomal RNA", at positions 1226 to 1533 of the family's 1533-position model. The record is from RNAcentral. Lineage: Bacteria; Pseudomonadati; Pseudomonadota; Gammaproteobacteria; Pseudomonadales; Pseudomonadaceae.
CUCUAUGCGCCUCACAGGGGGUGGCCGCGCCGCGAGGGGGAGCUAAUCCCAUAUAACCGAUCGUAGUCCGGAUCGCAGUCUGCAACUCGACUGCGUGAAGUCGGAAUCGCUAGUAAUCGUGAAUCAGAAUGUCACGGUGAAUACGUUCCCGGGCCUUGUACACACCGCCCGUCACACCAUGGGAGUGGGUUGCUCCAGAAGUAGCUAGUCUAACCGCAAGGGGGACGGUUACCACGGAGUGAUUCAUGACUGGGGUGAAGUCGUAACAAGGUAGCCGAAGGGGAACCUGCGGUUGGAUCACCUCCUAA